UCAUAUAUUUGUAUCAGAUAUCGAUGGUUUUUCGAAUGGCUAGUGAGUAUAUUGAAAAGAACAUAAUAUGGUAGAAAAUUUUCUGACAUAACUGAGAUUUAACAAAUUGAUGAUCAAGAGAGAGUGUUUGGAUUAGUCACAUUAAAUUGCGAAUAGCCUCAUCACUGGUAGGAACGUGUGAUUGAGAAUAGCCUGUCAUGGGUAAGAAUGUGAUACUUGAGUUUACCAAUCAUGGGUUAGAGC
RNAcentral lists this long non-coding RNA (243 nucleotides) under Elaeis guineensis (African oil palm). Its description in RNAcentral is "long non-coding RNA (EGUI_LNC043438)". The record is from RNAcentral. Lineage: Eukaryota; Viridiplantae; Streptophyta; Magnoliopsida; Arecales; Arecaceae.